UACGUAGGGUGCAAGCGUUGUCCGGAAUUAUUGGGCGUAAAGAGCUCGUAGGCGGUCUGUCACGUCGGCUGUGAAAACCCGAGGCUCAACCUCGGGCCUGCAGUCGAUACGGGCAAACUAGAGUACUGCAGGGAGACUGGAAUUCCUGGUGUAGCGGUGAAAUGCGCAGAUAUCAGGAGGAACACCGGUGGCGAAGGCGGGUC
This 203-nucleotide ribosomal RNA is filed under the name uncultured bacterium. Its description in RNAcentral is "partial 16S ribosomal RNA". It matches the Rfam family "Bacterial small subunit ribosomal RNA", at positions 524 to 727 of the family's 1533-position model. The record is from RNAcentral.